GGCCGCGGGAAUUCGAUUCAGGCCUAACACAUGCAAGUCGAACGGUAGCACAGAGAGCUUGCUCUUGGGUGACGAGUGGCGGACGGGUGAGUAAUGUCUGGGAAACUGCCCGAUGGAGGGGGGAUAACUACUGGAAACGGUAGCUAAUACCGCAUAACGUCGCAAGACCAAAGUGGGGGACCUUCGGGCCUCACACCAUCGGAUGUGCCCAGAUGGGAUUAGCUUGUUGGUGAGGUAAUGGCUCACCAAGGCGACGAUCCCUAGCUGGUCUGAGAGGAUGACCAGCCACACUGGAACUGAGACACGGUCCAGACUCCUACGGGAGGCAGCAGUGGGGAAUAUUGCACAAUGGGCGCAAGCCUGAUGCAGCAAGGCCGCGUGUAUGAAGAAGGCCUUCGGGUUGUAAAGUAAAGGCAGCGAGGAGGAAGGCAUUAAGGUUAAUAACCUUAGUGAUUGACGUACUCGCAGAAGAGGCCCCC
RNAcentral lists this ribosomal RNA (479 nucleotides) under uncultured bacterium. RNAcentral describes it as "bacterial SSU rRNA". It matches the Rfam family "Bacterial small subunit ribosomal RNA", at positions 39 to 495 of the family's 1533-position model. The record is from RNAcentral.